RNAcentral lists this ribosomal RNA (253 nucleotides) under uncultured bacterium. RNAcentral's name for it is "partial 16S ribosomal RNA". It matches the Rfam family "Bacterial small subunit ribosomal RNA", at positions 524 to 776 of the family's 1533-position model. The record is from RNAcentral.
UACAGAGGGGGCAAGCGUUAUUCGGAAUUAUUGGGCGUAAAGGGCGCGUAGGCGGCCUGGCAAGUGGAUGGUGAAAUCCCUCGGCUUAACCGAGGAACUGCCAUCCAGACUGCUUGGCUUGAGACCGGGAGAGGUGAGUGGAAUUCCCAGUGUAGCGGUGAAAUGCGUAGAUAUUGGGAGGAACACCAGUGGCGAAGGCGGCUCACUGGACCGGUACUGACGCUGAGGCGCGAAAGCGUGGGGAUCAAACAGG